Molecule: transfer RNA, 76 nt
Filed under: Candidatus Cloacimonadota bacterium
Lineage: Bacteria; Pseudomonadati; Candidatus Cloacimonadota
Description: tRNA-His
Rfam family: tRNA
About the family: Transfer RNA (tRNA) molecules are approximately 80 nucleotides in length. Their secondary structure includes four short double-helical elements and three loops (D, anti-codon, and T loops).
Source: RNAcentral
GUGGCUGUAGUUCAGUUGGUAGAGCACAGGAUUGUGGCUCCUGGCGUCGUGGGUUCGAGUCCCAUCAGCCACCCCA